Molecule: ribosomal RNA, 460 nt
Filed under: uncultured bacterium
Lineage: Bacteria
Description: partial 16S ribosomal RNA
Rfam family: Bacterial small subunit ribosomal RNA
Source: RNAcentral
CCUACGGGAGGCAGCAGUGAGGAAUAUUGGUCACUGGACGAGAGUCUGAACCAGCCAAGUAGCGUGAAGGAUGACUGCCCUAUGGGUUGUAAACUUCUUUUAUAAAGGAAUAAAACGAGGCACGUGUGCCUUUUUGCAUGUACUUUAUGAAUAAGGAUCGGCUAAUUCCGUGCCAGCAGCCGCGGUAAUACGGAGGGUCCGAGCGUUAUCCGGAUGUAUUGGGUUUAAAGGGAGCGUAGAUGGGUUGUUAAGUCAGAUGGGAAAGGUUGCGGCUCAACCGUAAAAUUGCAAUUGAUACUGGCAGUCUUGAGUACAGGUGAGGUAGGCGGAAUUCGUGGUGUAGCGGUGAAAUGCUUAGAUAUCACGAAGAACCCCGAUUGCGAAGGCAGCUUACUAAACUGUGACUGACAUUGAUGCUCGAAAGUGUGGGUAUCAAACAGGAUUAGAUACCCGGGUAGUC